This 229-nucleotide ribosomal RNA is filed under the name uncultured bacterium. RNAcentral describes it as "partial 16S ribosomal RNA". It matches the Rfam family "Bacterial small subunit ribosomal RNA", at positions 568 to 796 of the family's 1533-position model. The record is from RNAcentral.
UGCGUAGGCGGAUUAUUAAGUCAGUGGUGAAAGUCGUCAGCUUAACUGAAGAAGUGCCAUUGAUACUGGUAGUCUUGAGUACAGUAGAGGUAGGCGGAAUUUAUGGUGUAGCGGUGAAAUGCAUAGAUACCAUAAAGAACACCGAUAGCGUAGGCAGCUUACUAUACUGUAACUGACGCUGAGGCACGAAAGCGUGGGGAGCGAACAGGAUUAGAUACCCUGGUAGUCC